AAGGAUCAUUAAAUGAAAAGCUGGUUUACCAGUAUACGGCCCCUGGGUUUGUUUCUGACAAGCGCCAGGAUCAGUCGUCAUUUAUACCCAUGUUUUUUGCGUACUACUUGUUUCCUUGGUAGGCUUGCCUACCAUUAGGACCACACAAAACCUUUUGUAAUUGCAGUCAGCGUCAGAAAUAACUUAAUAGUUACAACUUUCAACAACGGAUCUCUUGGUUCUG
This 223-nucleotide unclassified non-coding RNA is filed under the name uncultured fungus. RNAcentral describes it as "partial contains 18S rRNA, ITS1, 5.8S rRNA, ITS2 and 28S rRNA". The record is from RNAcentral. Lineage: Eukaryota; Fungi.